Non-coding RNA from Marmota monax (woodchuck), 713 nucleotides. Lineage: Eukaryota; Metazoa; Chordata; Mammalia; Rodentia; Sciuridae. The record is from the annotation of a RefSeq genome assembly.
GGAGCCCAGCCCUGGACUCCCAGCUCAGCCCACUCAGUGAUCAGGACUGAACACAGCUGCUCACCAUGGAGAGUGUGCUCAGCUGGGUUUUCCUGGUGGCUGUUUUCAAAGGUGUCCAGUGUGAGGUGCAGCUGGUGGAGUCUGGGGGAGGCCUGGUGCAGCCUGGGGGUUCCCUGCGACUCUCCUGUGCAGCCUCUGGAUUCACCUUCAGUAGUUACUACAUGCACUGGGUCCGCCAGGCUCCAGGGAAGGGGCUGGAGUGGGUUGCUGUUGUAAGAACCAAAGCUAAUAGUUACAGCACAGCAUAUGCUGCAUCUGUAAAAGACCGAUUCACCAUCUCUAGAGAGGACACCAAGAACACCCUGUACCUGGAAAUGAGCAGUCUGAGAACCGAGGACACAGCGACCUAUUACUGUGCUAGAGACACAGUGAGGGGACCUCAAUGUGAGCCCAGACACAAACCUCCCCUCAGGGAAUCCUGCAACAAACAGGAGGUCUUCACCAUGACCAGCCUGGACCCUGCAGACCCAGCCCCCCUGAUUGUGACCAGCCUGGACCCUGCAGACCCAGUACCCAUGACUGUGACCAGCCUGGACCCUGCGGAUGCAGCCCCCAUGACUGUGCUCUGGGUGGAAAAGGCACAGCCUGGGGCUUCCUGCACAAGGGCUCAGGCUGGCCUCAGCUCUGACCUGCCCCUCUGCCUAUGGGGAUAG